This 462-nucleotide ribosomal RNA is filed under the name uncultured bacterium. Its description in RNAcentral is "partial 16S ribosomal RNA". It matches the Rfam family "Bacterial small subunit ribosomal RNA", at positions 29 to 523 of the family's 1533-position model. The record is from RNAcentral.
AAUGAACGUUGGCGGCAUGGAUUAGGCAUGCAAGUCGGGGGAAUCCCAGCAAUGGGGGAACCGGCGUAAGGGGCAGUAAGGCAUGGGUACCUACCUUGGGGUUCGGGAUAGCCAUCAGAGAUGGUGGGUAAUACCGGAUGACGUCGUGUGACCAAAGAUUUAUCGCCCUUAGAGGGGCCCAUGUGAUAUUAGCUAGUUGGUGGGGUAACGGCCCACCAAGGCGAAGAUGUCUAGCGGGUGUGAGAGCACGACCCGCGCCACUCGCACUGAGACACUGGCGAGACAUCUACGGGGGGCUGCAGGCGAGGAUCUUCGGCAAUGAGCGCAAGCUUGGCCGAGCGAUGCCGCGUGAGCGAUGAAGGCCGUCGGGUUGUAAAGCUCUUUAGUGGGGGAGAAAAGCCGCAAGGUGUGAUCUAUCCCAAAAAUAAGCACGGGCUAAGUUCGUGCCAGCCGCCGCCGUAA